Molecule: ribosomal RNA, 400 nt
Filed under: uncultured Clostridium sp.
Lineage: Bacteria; Bacillati; Bacillota; Clostridia; Eubacteriales; Clostridiaceae
Description: bacterial SSU rRNA
Rfam family: Bacterial small subunit ribosomal RNA
Source: RNAcentral
AAUGACUUUACCUGUAGAAUAAGCACCGGCUAACUUCGUGCCAGCAGCCGCGGUAAUACGAAGGGUGCUAGCGUUACUCGGAAUUACUGGGCGUAAAGAAUGCGUAGGCGGACUUGUAAGUUAGAAGUGAAAUCCCUGGGCUCAACCUAGGAACUGCUUUUAAAACUGCUUGUCUUGAAUGUUGGAAUGAUUAGGGGAAUUCCUGGUGUAGGGGUAAUAUCCGUAGAUAUCAGGAGGAAGACCGGAAGCGAAAGCGCUUAAUUAGCCAAAUAUUGACGCUGAUGCAUGAAAGCGUGGGGAGCAAACAGGAUUAGAUACCCUGGUAGUCCACGCUGUAAACUAUGAAUACUAUUUGUGGAGGGCUAUAUGCCCCCUGCAAAAAAAGCUAACGCGUUAAGUA